Molecule: transfer RNA, 73 nt
Filed under: Dipodomys ordii (Ord's kangaroo rat)
Lineage: Eukaryota; Metazoa; Chordata; Mammalia; Rodentia; Heteromyidae
Rfam family: tRNA
About the family: Transfer RNA (tRNA) molecules are approximately 80 nucleotides in length.
Source: Rfam by way of RNAcentral
GGGAAUGUGGCUCAAGUGGAAGAGCACCUGCCUAGCAAGUUCUAGGCCCUGAGUUCAAACCCCAGCAUAUCCA